AUGCUUAAGGAGGACUUUUAGGUACCAUGAUCACAAAGGUAGCAUUCCCAGGGCGAGGCUUAUCUAUUGCACUCCAGAUAUGCUGACCCCUGUGAUUUCCCCAAAUGUGGGAAACUUGACAGCAUAAUUUGUGGUAGUGGGCAACUGCAUCUGCACUCUCCCC
Small nuclear RNA from Erinaceus europaeus (western European hedgehog), 163 nucleotides. Its record names the gene U1. It matches the Rfam family "U1 spliceosomal RNA". Rfam says of the family: U1 is a small nuclear RNA (snRNA) component of the spliceosome (involved in pre-mRNA splicing). Its 5' end forms complementary base pairs with the 5' splice junction, thus defining the 5' donor site of an intron. The record is from Ensembl. NCBI's taxonomy places the organism in Eukaryota, Metazoa, Chordata, Mammalia, Eulipotyphla, Erinaceidae.